CAGCCGCCGCGGUAAUACGAAGGGGGCUAGCGUUGUUCGGAUUUACUGGGCGCAAAGCGCACGUAGGCGGAUCGAUCAGUCAGGGGUGAAAUCCCAGAGCUCAGCUCUGGAACUGCCUUUGAUACUGUCGAUCUGGAGUAUGGAAGAGGUGAGUGGAAUUCCGAGUGUAGAGGUGAAAUUCGUAGAUAUUCGGAGGAACACCAGUGGCGAAGGCGGCUCACUGGUCCAUUACUGACGCUGAGGUGCGAAAGCGUGGGGAGCAAACAGGAUUAGAUACCCCGGUAGUCCCUGUCUCUUAUAC
This 301-nucleotide ribosomal RNA is filed under the name uncultured bacterium. Its description in RNAcentral is "partial 16S ribosomal RNA". It matches the Rfam family "Bacterial small subunit ribosomal RNA", at positions 509 to 807 of the family's 1533-position model. The record is from RNAcentral.